CUACUGCUGUCUAAUGUAUGCCUUUCUCUCUCUUAUUGCAGAAAGCGAAGUAAACUAAGUCAGAAUAGAGUCCAGUGUUCAGUUGUGAAAGAAGUGACAUUAAUCCCAAUCCAAAAGAAGCUGCGUAACAUCUUCAUACCAGAUUUUUUAUCAUUUGUAUAUCAUCUUAAAGGGAUAUUCCGUCCUUCCUUGAGCUUCUCACCCUGCAGCAGGCUGUAACGGAUUGGCCUGAGGUCUCACUACAAACAAACGGCUGCUGGAGGAGAGUAGGUGAGUUGUGUUUAGUCUCUUUGCUAAGGAAAUCAGGCAAAGUUAAAAAGAUGUUUGGUGGCUAGUGCUAUGGCUGGGACCCUAUAUGUACUGCUGAUGAAGUUAGGUGCUGUUCUGAGCAUUACUUGUGGCUAUAGAGUGGCUUUUUGGUUGAGGUUUGUUUAUGGAGACGUAAAUCACCUUGUAUUGCUAUCCUGCGGUCGUUACUAAAAUUGGUAUAACUAGAGAAGCAAGCGGUCAGCAACAAUCAUCUCUUGGGGGGUGUCUAACUCGAUGUUGUGGUGUGUUUGACCCGAAAUUAAGUUUACGCCGGAAUAUCCCUUUAAGUGACAGUGUAGAAUGAGGAUACUGAGGAACAUCUAGCAAGAAUGAGUCAUCAUUCUGAGGAAACAUUAACAGGAUUUUUGAAAGCAGCACUGAGAUCAUUCAGCAUUAUUUUCCUGUGAACUAAUGUCACUUUUAAUAAAUAAACCUUUCCUUGCUCGUCCAACAGAAAACUGACAAUGUCAGUGUUGCUCUUCAAACAUAAAUUUUUCAUUAGGAUUUUCCAUCUAUGAAAGAAAACACUGAUAUUAACCCUUUUGUUUUCUGCUAUUACUUUUUUCAUCUUUUGUUCAGACUCACAUUCCCGUCUUUUGUGAUAAGUCUGAUCCUGCAUUUGUCAAGUUUUUAGGAUAAAAAAUAUCAAUACAAAUAUCAAUACAAAUUCAUUUGCACACAGCAACAACAACCAAUCUCACGCUGUCUGUUUAACAAGACAUGUUUGGGUCCUGCUAGUUUGUCCAUUCUGGGCUACUGUAGAAAACAUGGCAGUGUGACAAAUGUAGCAGCCAAAACCUGUUACUUUGCUGAUAUAAAAGACUUGCACUAAGCCACUAAGCGAUAAUGAUAUUAAAUUUCAUAGAACCUAGUUUAAAUAUAUCUGUGUAACACAUUCUGCUAAAUUCUACAGAAUGUACCUUUAAUAUCAAGACAAAAUUAGAUAACUGCUGACCCUACUCAGGAGUUAUUUUGUAAAAAGUGAUGACCAAGGACCUGAUUGAAAGAAAUGUAAUAAUAAGUGAUGAGGAAGACUGGGCAGCUGAAACCAAUAGAAACCAAUGAUAGAAAUUCAUGAAAAAGGUGACGAUGAUCCUGACUCCCAACUCUGACAUCCAAAAUAUGACAAAAGGGAUAAUUGCUGACCUGAUGUAAGAAAUCAUAAAAAAAAAAGGUUGAGGUGGACCUGACACAAUAAUCAUGGAAAAACUGUGUUUUCAGGGGUAUAGAAAGGAGUGUCAUCUGCAUAGCAGUGGUAAUUUUUUGAGUGUGUCCUGAUAAUAUUGCCUAGAGGAAGCGUAUAUAAGGUGGAAAAGAUGCAAAAAGAGGUGAAAACUGCUUCGACUCAAUGCACCCAGCCUGAACGAGGAGACAGAUUUGAGGCCAUUUCUUUACUACUGUCCAUAAAACCCUUUUCUAUGAUGUUGUCAUCAUAUAAGAGGGUUUUUAUGGACAGUCUAUUAGAGUACCAUUCACACUCAUCUGUUCUUUACAUGUUGUCCUUUGUACAUGCGCAUUUGUGAUACUGAGAGUAUAAGUGCCUCAGGUGAGGUUAUUCAGCAUCAGGUAAAAUGCUACAAAGCUGAAUGAAUUAAUUUCAGCCAAGAUGCUUCAUUAACAGAUUUUUCUGCGUCUAUCCAUUUCUUAAAUGUUGCACCUGCUGUUUUCAAUCCCUGCACCAUGCCUUCUUCUCUGAGGCUGCAGUGAACCGUCUCCACAGGCUUCAUUAAAGUUUCAUCCAGGUCAAAUAAAAACACUUCAUUCCUGCGGACAACAAUAUCAUUAAGUGGUUUUACAAAGAGGUAUAAGGUGGCCAUUCAACCAUGAAUCCUGCUGAUUUUAUCUAUUAAUUCUGCACUUUACAUUAUAGCCUCUCUGGGUUUUUUCCUCCUCCCAGACACAGCUAAAAGACUCGCUCUGGUAUCUGUAACAUAUUUUCUAUCUCAUAAAGUUAUUCCUGAAGCUACUUUUUUGCGAGGCAGAUGGUGAGUGAUUUGAAAUCAGUACCAUGAGAGGACAAAAAGGUGGAAGAAACAGAAGGAGGACAGAAAUAGACAACUGGGGUUUGACAAAUGAAACCAUUUUCAAACUUUUUAAACAAAGUCAAAGAGAAGUGAGAGAGCCCAGCCAUGGAGAGCAAAACAAAUAGACUUUUAUAAGGACAGGAAAGGACAUGCUGAGGUUGAUGAGCACACAGCUGAAGACAGAAAAGGUGAAAAAGAAACUCAAAUGAUAGGAUGGAGGGCUUGAAAAAAUGGGAGAAUGAUCUGGAAUGAUGGGAGGAAUUAGGUGCAGAGAGAGAGGGAAUAUAAGAGGUCACAUUUCAAACCCAUUCACCCUGAAGACAUGCGACACAUGGUCGUGUCAAACUGCCUCAGCUUCUCUCAUUAAUUGCCCAACUACAUCUGCUGAGCUGAUCCAACAUGAAAGUGCCUCGAGUGGAAGAAAAAAACACACACUUCUUGAUCAAACGGAUGAUUCCAGGCAACUUAGAGAACUUUUCAAUCUGUUUAACCGUAGAUGAGGUCAAUCUCACUAAAUCCAUUUUUUUUUUCUGAAAUGUUUCACCGGGAUGAGAAUUAUGUAGAAAUCUAGAGAUAGGUAAUCCAGUUUCUUCUGUCUUGGUUUAAACAAUAGAAAGAAAGGAAAAAAGAAUAAAGACUCUGCUUUUAAAGAUGACCAUUCUUCAUUUGUCCACAGGGGGAGCCAGAAUCCACAAAAUCAGAAACAAGUCAAGCGCAAGCAGGUGCUGUCCUUGGCUGAUGCCGGUCAAUGUGAUAAGGUAUGAUUGGAUCUGAUGCCAUACAAUUUAAUGCAAUAUAAUCAAAUAUGAUACAAUACAGUAUAAUACAAUACCAUACUAUGCAAAUAUAAGUAUUGACUGCUAUUAUUAUUAUUACUCUUUAAAGGAGCUGAAUUCUCAUCAUGAGGAUCUACGCUGAGGCACCUCAGAAAGAAGAAGGACUUAUACUCUGGUCUUACACGG
Molecule: non-coding RNA, 3295 nt
Organism: Xyrichtys novacula (pearly razorfish)
Lineage: Eukaryota; Metazoa; Chordata; Actinopteri; Labriformes; Labridae
Source: the annotation of a GenBank genome assembly